CUUGACUCUGGCGUCACAAACACAGCUUCUUGGAAUCUCAUGCCUGUUACUGGCUGUGUGAUCUGGAGCAACUGGCUUCACCUCUCUGAGCCUUUAUUUCCCACAUCUGCAAAGUGGUGCACAGUAAUACCCACGUUCCUGGCUCUGUGUAAGGAGCCAUGAGAGUGUAUUUAAAGGGCCCAGCACCCAGCUGCUCUCAGUAGAUGCUCAAGAGACAGUAACAACCCUAUCGUUAUAUGAGGUUCAAUGCAACUCAUCUGAUUCCCCUUCCAGUGGCUGGAGAACAUCCCACCUUCUGAGCCUUGGGGAGAAGCAGAGUGUGCCCUUUCCCUGCCCACUGGAGAAGCUGAAACAACAAAAACUCCCUUCCCUGGCCUCCCUGCAGGAGACUCCAGGAAGACUCCUGAAUGCCACACACUCCUAAACCUGAGAGACCUUCAUGCAGAUUGGGGAGCAGCUUUAGGACUGCUGGGUGGAGCCACAAUGAGACAGAUAAGCUCCAGGAAAAUAAGAAGUGCCGAAACAAUGGAGCCACCCAACAAAAAGGGCUGCCACUGCAAGUGGUGAGCUUCCUGUUACUGGAGUAAGUCAAAGAUGGUGUCGAAAAUGGUGAAAUCAAGAACUAGUGCUUAGAAUUAUGGAGAUUUAAAAACAGAAGAGACACCUCCCAGAGUUGCAAGUGGUCGCCUGUCCCAGAGAGCUGGUGAGAUGAGGUGGGGAGGUGGCAGCUGAGUUUUAUGGUGAGAAAGUGGAGUUCGAAGAUGUCAUCAGCCCAGGUCACACAGAUGGUGGAGACCAGUGUGGAGCCCGGGAGUGGGCUGAGCAGAGCAUCUGGACUUUGAGCUUCCAUCAGACCCUGAGAUAGUCACCUGUCCUGGCUGCCUGGUGACCCUGGUGUGCUAACGUGGCACUUAUCUUGCUCUAUGGAGGCCCCUGGGCCCCCUAAACACCAGGUGGGUGCCUUCAGCCAGCCCCAUACUGACCUGUGAAGCCCAGGUAUUGCUGGCCAACCCACCCCACUCACAGACAGAAGCAGUUCUCCAUCUUUUGGCUUUAGCAGAUCUGCUUCAUUUCUCCUCCCCACAAAGCCUGGACUUUGUUCUGGGGGUAUCCCUGUUUGCAGUGAAGCUUUUUCACUCAGUGCUCAAUCUGAGCCCAACUCCACCCCACAUCUCUGAUUCAUAGACUUUUGUGACUGCCUUGACCAGUAGAGUAUGGCAGAAGAUGCUCUGUAACUUCCCAGGCUAGAUCUAGAAAAUGCCACGCAUUUCUGCCUUGCUCUCCUGCGACAUCCACUCUUAGAACCCAGUUGCUGUGCUAAAAAGAACUCACAGACCACGUGGAGUGGAGCAGAUGGGUCAGUGUCCCAGGUGGCAGCCCGUGUCGGCCUCAGACCUGCACGUGAGGAUGCCCACCAGAGGGUUCCUGCCACCACCGUCAAGUCACCCCAGCCUUAAUCUUCCAGCCGGCGCCUCAGGCAUUAUGGGCAGAGGUAAACUGUCUCCAUGAUGCCCUUUCCAAAUUUCUGACCCACAGAAUCCAUGGCUAUAAUAAAAUGGCUGUCUUAUGUGCUCAA
RNAcentral lists this long non-coding RNA (1576 nucleotides) under Homo sapiens (human). RNAcentral describes it as "HSALNT0362543". Lineage: Eukaryota; Metazoa; Chordata; Mammalia; Primates; Hominidae. The record is from RNAcentral.